UCUCAAUCUUGUAUGUUUCACGCCUGC
This 27-nucleotide non-coding RNA is filed under the name Rattus norvegicus (Norway rat). Lineage: Eukaryota; Metazoa; Chordata; Mammalia; Rodentia; Muridae. The record is from RNAcentral.